Molecule: ribosomal RNA, 137 nt
Filed under: uncultured Acinetobacter sp.
Lineage: Bacteria; Pseudomonadati; Pseudomonadota; Gammaproteobacteria; Moraxellales; Moraxellaceae
Description: partial 16S ribosomal RNA
Rfam family: Bacterial small subunit ribosomal RNA
Source: RNAcentral
ACUCCUACGGGAGGCAGCAGUGGGGAAUAUUGGACAAUGGGCGCAAGCCUGAUCCAGCCAUGCCGCGUGUGUGAAGAAGGCCUUAUGGUUGUAAAGCACUUUAAGCGAGGAGGAGGCUACUUUAGUUAAUACCUAGA